GAUUAAGUUAUUAAGGGCGCACGGUGGAUGCCUUGGCACUAGAAGCCGACGAAGGACGUUACUAACGACGAUAUGCUUUGGGUAGCUGUAAGUAAGCGUUGAU
Molecule: ribosomal RNA, 103 nt
Filed under: Staphylococcus haemolyticus
Lineage: Bacteria; Bacillati; Bacillota; Bacilli; Caryophanales; Staphylococcaceae
Description: partial 23S ribosomal RNA
Rfam family: Bacterial large subunit ribosomal RNA
Source: RNAcentral